UGAUUGGACGGUAGGCUCUGCUCUGCUACUAGCUCCAGCUGGGCGCCAAAUGUGAGAAUUAAAGUAUUAAUUGUCCGUUGGCAUCGACACUUAUCUCCGUG
Molecule: long non-coding RNA, 101 nt
Organism: Melanotaenia boesemani (Boeseman's rainbowfish)
Lineage: Eukaryota; Metazoa; Chordata; Actinopteri; Atheriniformes; Melanotaeniidae
Exons: 3
Source: RefSeq, a predicted model, not a curated record